AGAGUUUGAUCCUGGCUCAGGACGAACGCUGGCGGCGCGCCUAACACAUGCAAGUCGAACGAGCGAGAGAGAGCUUGCUUUCUCGAGCGAGUGGCGAACGGGUGAGUAACGCGUGAGGAACCUGCCUCAAAGAGGGGGACAACAGUUGGAAACGACUGCUAAUACCGCAUAAGCCCACGACCCGGCAUCGGGUAGAGGGAAAAGGAGCAAUCCGCUUUGAGAUGGCCUCGCGUCCGAUUAGCUAGUUGGUGAGGUAACGGCCCACCAAGGCGACGAUCGGUAGCCGGACUGAGAGGUUGAACGGCCACAUUGGGACUGAGACACGGCCCAGACUCCUACGGGAGGCAGCAGUGGGGAAUAUUGCACAAUGGGGGAAACCCUGAUGCAGCGACGCCGCGUGGAGGAAGAAGGUCUUCGGAUUGUAAACUCCUGUUGUUGAGGAAGAUAAUGACGGUACUCAACAAGGAAGUGACGGCUAACUACGUGCCAGCAGCCGCGGUAAAACGUAGGUCACAAGCGUUGUCCGGAAUUACUGGGUGUAAAGGGAGCGCAGGCGGGAAGCCAAGUUGGAAGUGAAAUCCAUGGGCUCAACCCAUGAACUGCUUUCAAAACUGUUUUUCUUGAGUAGUGCAGAGGUAGGGCGGAAUUCCCGGUGUAGCGGUGGAAUGCGUAGAUAUCGGGAGGAACACCAGUGGCCAAAGGCCGCCUACCUGGGCACCCAACGGACGCUGAGGCUCGAAAGUGUGGGUAGCAAACAGGAUUUAGAUACCCUGGUAGUCCACACUGUAAAACGAUGAUUACUAGGUGUUUGGAGGAUUGACCCCUUCAGUGCCGCAGUUAACACAAUAAGUAAUCCACCUGGGGAGUACGACCGCAAGGUUUGAAAACUCAAAGGAAUUGACGGGGGCCCGCACAAGCAGUGGAGUAUGUGGUUUAAUACGACGCAACGCGAAGAACCUUACCAAGUCUUGACAUCCUGCGACGGUUCUGGAAACAGAACUUUCCUUCGGGACGCAGAGACAGGUGGUGCAUGGUUGUCGUCAGCUCGUGUCGUGAGAUGUUGGGUUAAGUCCCGCAACGAGCGCAACCCCUAUCCUAUGUUACCAGCGGGUAAUGCCGGGGACUCAUAGGAGACUGCCAAGGACAACUUGGAGGAAGGCGGGGAUGACGUCAAGUCAUCAUGCCCCUUAUGUCUUGGGCUACACACGUACUACAAUGGUCGGCAACAGAGGGAAGCGAAGCCGUGAGGCAGAGCAAACCCCAGAAACCCGAUCUCAGUUCGGAUUGCAGGCUGCAACUCGCCUGCAUGAAGUCGGAAUCGCUAGUAAUCGCAGGUCAGCAUACUGCGGUGAAUACGUUCCCGGGCCUUGCACACACCGCCCGUCA
Molecule: ribosomal RNA, 1386 nt
Filed under: uncultured bacterium
Lineage: Bacteria
Description: bacterial SSU rRNA
Rfam family: Bacterial small subunit ribosomal RNA
Source: RNAcentral